This 606-nucleotide long non-coding RNA is filed under the name Drosophila guanche. Lineage: Eukaryota; Metazoa; Arthropoda; Insecta; Diptera; Drosophilidae. The record is from RNAcentral.
CAAGAAAGAUCCACAAUUGUUCCGGGGAACAAGUAACUACCAUAAAUGAUUGAAACUCUAUUUAACCAGAACGAGCACAUAAACCAUGUUAUUGUUUCCCAAUCGAGCCCGACUAUCUCAAUCUUCAAUCCUUAUCCCGAAGUUACGGGAUCUAAUUUGCCGAAUUACAUUAUUCUAUCGACUAGAGACUCUUCACCUUGGAGACCAGCUGCGGAUAUUUGUACGGCCUGUUGAGAAGUUUGCGUGUCCCCACCAUAAAUUUUCUAGGUCCGAGGAGAAAAUAUCGACACAACAGUAUAUGUCAUGCUCUUCUAGCCCAUCUACCAAAUCUCUCUGCGAAAGACUUCCAUGGUAGUUCGGCUAUAAAACAGAAAAGAAAACUCUUCCGAUAUCUCUCGACGGCUUCUUUAUGGUCGUUCCUGUUGCCAGGAUGAGCACAAGGCCCAUAUUUAAUAACAAACAGAUACUCAACAGGUUACGGAAUUGGAACCGUAUUCCCUUUCAUUCAAAAUGAUUCAAGUGUUUCAAAAAAAUCAUUAAAGAUUUGACAAUAUAUGCUUAUUGAUUUUUUACUUGAACAUUUUCGGCUUUCGCCUUGAACUUAGG